AGCGAACGCUGGCGGCAGGCUUAACACAUGCAAGUCGAGCGGGCAUCCUUGUGGUGUCAGCGGCAGACGGGUGAGUAACGCGUGGGAACGUGCCCUUCGGUUCGUAAUAACUCAGGGAAACUUGAGCUAAUACCGGAUACGUGCGAGAGCAGAAAGGUUUAUCUGCCGAAGGAUCGGCCCGCGUCUGAUUAGCUAGUUGGUGAGGUUAUGGCUCACCAAGGCGACGAUCAGUAGCUGGUCUGAGAGGAUGAUCAGCCACACUGGGACUGAGACACGGCCCAGACUCCUACGGGAGGCAGCAGUGGGGAAUAUUGGACAAUGGGGGCAACCCUGAUCCAGCCAUGCCGCGUGAGUGAUGACGGCCUUAGGGUUGUAAAGCUCUUUUAUCCGGGACGAUAAUGACGGUACCGGAGGAAUAAGCCCCGGCUAACUUCGUG
This 437-nucleotide ribosomal RNA is filed under the name uncultured bacterium. RNAcentral describes it as "partial 16S ribosomal RNA". It matches the Rfam family "Bacterial small subunit ribosomal RNA", at positions 29 to 507 of the family's 1533-position model. The record is from RNAcentral.